GGAGCAUUCCAUCGACGUUGAAGGCAGAGGAUAACCUCUUCUGGAGUUUAUGGAAAAGCAAAUGUAGGUAUAAGUAACGAUAAAGAGCGUGAGAUGCGCUCUCGCCGAAAGACUAAGGUUUCCCGGGCGACGUUAAUCGGCCCGGGGUCAGUCGGGUCCUAAGGAUAAGCCUAAUGGCGAUGCCGAUGGCAGAAACGGUUAAUAUUCCGUUACUGCCGCAAGGGGCGAUGUGGAGACGGAGAAGUGACACUUCCGCGUACUGACGGAUAUGUACGUUAAAGCACAAAGACGUUGAUAGAUCCAGGCAAAUCCGGAUUUAGAGUUGAAGUGCGAUAGUAUGCAAGGCCUUCGGGCUGCGCAAUAGUGAAGGUAAUCAUGC
Molecule: ribosomal RNA, 379 nt
Filed under: Weissella confusa
Lineage: Bacteria; Bacillati; Bacillota; Bacilli; Lactobacillales; Lactobacillaceae
Description: partial 23S ribosomal RNA
Rfam family: Bacterial large subunit ribosomal RNA
Source: RNAcentral